Long non-coding RNA from Haemorhous mexicanus (house finch), 460 nucleotides. RefSeq lists it as uncharacterized. NCBI's taxonomy places the organism in Eukaryota, Metazoa, Chordata, Aves, Passeriformes, Fringillidae. The transcript has 2 exons. The record is from RefSeq and is a predicted model, not a curated record.
GAAGGGAUGCGAGGGGACGUGGGAGACUGAGAAGAGUCACGAGGACACGAGAAGGGGACGUGAGGGACCGAGAGGUGUCAUGAGGGACCGAGAGAGGCCCUGAAGGGCCCGGGGAUUUACAUCUCUCUCAAUUAUUGACGUUGUGGGGACAGGGCUCUGCUGCCAAAGCAUUUCACGUUUUUUUAUGGGUGUAACAGAGCCUGUGUUUCGUUUUGCUCUUCAGGAUAUCCUACGUGUCAUGUCUCUGGGUGACCGUGUGGGUGAGAGCAGACGAGUCCAGCUCAUGGAUAUUAGAUACACACAGCUAUUACUGUCAGCAGUGUCCUAUUUACAGAAUAAAAUACAUGUACUUUCCAUUGGCUGCUGUACAGACAUACUCUGAGCCAACCCCACUCAUGCUAGGUGAAUGAAGGCCGGAACCUUUUGGGGAAGAAAAGAAAGGCUUCUGAAACCAGAAAAA